RNAcentral lists this transfer RNA (77 nucleotides) under Azospirillum sp. RNAcentral's name for it is "tRNA-Pro". It matches the Rfam family "tRNA". From Rfam's summary of the family: Transfer RNA (tRNA) molecules are approximately 80 nucleotides in length. Their secondary structure includes four short double-helical elements and three loops (D, anti-codon, and T loops). Lineage: Bacteria; Pseudomonadati; Pseudomonadota; Alphaproteobacteria; Rhodospirillales; Azospirillaceae. RNAcentral also lists the same sequence under 6 other names. The record is from RNAcentral.
CGGGACAUAGCUCAGCCUGGUAGAGCGCUUGCUUUGGGAGCAAGAUGCCGACGGUUCGAAUCCGCCUGUCCCGACCA